UGGGGAAUCUUCCGCAAUGGGCGAAAGCCUGACGGAGCAACGCCGCGUGAGUGAAGACGGCCUUCGGGUUGUAAAACUCUGUGAUUCGGGACGAAAGAUAAGUAGACGAAUAAUCUGCAUAAGUGACGGUACCGAAAAAGCAAGCCACGGCUAACUACGUGCCAGCAGCCGCGGUAAUACGUAGGUGGCAAGCGUUGUCCGGAAUUAUUGGGCGUAAAGCGCGCGCAGGCGGCUACUUAAGUCCAUCUUAAAAGUGCGGGGCUUAACCCCGUGAUGGGAUGGAAACUGAGAAGCUGGAGUGUCGGAGAGGAAAGUGGAAUUCCUAGUGUAGCGGUGAAAUGCGUAGAGAUUAGGAAGAACACCGGUGGCGAAGGCGACUUUCUGGACGACAACUGACGCUUAGGCGCGAAAGCGUGGGGAGCGAACAGG
Molecule: ribosomal RNA, 429 nt
Filed under: Verrucomicrobiota bacterium
Lineage: Bacteria; Pseudomonadati; Verrucomicrobiota
Description: Verrucomicrobia bacterium partial 16S ribosomal RNA
Rfam family: Bacterial small subunit ribosomal RNA
Source: RNAcentral